Molecule: non-coding RNA, 460 nt
Organism: Podarcis lilfordi (Lilford's wall lizard)
Lineage: Eukaryota; Metazoa; Chordata; Lepidosauria; Squamata; Lacertidae
Source: the annotation of a GenBank genome assembly
AGGAUUUGGGAACUUCUAUCGUAAGUUCAUCCGAAACUUUGCCCACCUGACGGCGCCCAUUACGGACUGUCUCAGCAGUAAGAAGAAAUUCGUUUGGACUGAGGAGGCGGAGCGAGCAUUUGAGGAACUAAAAAGGGCCUUCGCCUCGGAACAACAACUCCUGCAUGUGGAUUUACAAAAACCGAUGAGAGUGGAAACUGACGCAUCAGACAGAGCGAUUGGGGCGGUGCUGCUGCAGCCAGGGAAGGAGGAGUCAGAGUGGAGACCGUGUGCUUUUUUUUUCGCGAAAGCUGAACAAAUCCGAGAGGAACUACACGGUGUAUGACCGAGAACUACUAGCCAUUCAUGAGGCGUUCCGGAGAUGGAGGCACCUGCUAAUUGGCGCACAACAUAAGGUGCAAGUGUGCACUGACCACAAGAACCUAGAGUAUUGGAGGACGGCACGAGUGCUCAACCAACG